UGCCAGCCGCCGCGGUAAUACGGAGGGGGUUAGCGUUGUUCGGAAUUACUGGGCGUAAAGCGCACGUAGGCGGCUAUUUAAGUCAGAUGUGAAAGUCCACGGCUCAACCUCGGAACUGCCUUUGAUACUGUAAGUCUUGAGUCCGAGAGAGGUGAGUGGAAUUCCUAGUGUAGAGGUGAAAUUCGUAGAUAUUAGGAAGAACACCAGUGGCGUAGGCGGCUCACUGGCUCGGUACUGACGCUGAGGUGCGAAAGCGUGGGGAGCAAACAGGAUUAGAUA
This 279-nucleotide ribosomal RNA is filed under the name uncultured bacterium. RNAcentral's name for it is "partial 16S ribosomal RNA". It matches the Rfam family "Bacterial small subunit ribosomal RNA", at positions 506 to 784 of the family's 1533-position model. The record is from RNAcentral.